Molecule: long non-coding RNA, 3093 nt
Organism: Nomia melanderi (Alkali bee)
Lineage: Eukaryota; Metazoa; Arthropoda; Insecta; Hymenoptera; Halictidae
Source: RefSeq, a predicted model, not a curated record
UCUCUUUCGACGUUUAGUACAUGGAGGAACAUUGGGAAGUGAGCAGCAAUUAUUUGCUUGUGAUACCGUUUACAUUCUAUAUAAUCGUGAUGUGGAGCUUGGAUUUCACAUUUGGUUUCUUAGCAGCUUCUGUCAGACUAUUUCGUUAUCUAAAAUUUUGGGUCGAUAAUCAUGGUUAACGCACAGAAAAAGGUACUUACGUAUCAUACGGAGUACCUCUUAAUCGUCAAAGAGGCAAUAAAUCGGCGUCAUUGAAGGAAUUCGAGAGCGAUGAAACGCAAAGAUUGAACCUACGGCUUCCGUUUGGAGUGCUCCGUCAGCGCAAUCGAAGAUACUUCACAAGAGCGGGUUCGUCUACGAUUCAACGUCGGCGAGGAUAAACAGGAAUGCCCUACAAACAAAGCCGCGAGACGACGAGAAACACAAUAAUUCGAAUGAAAAUAACGAAUUAUCGAAGAAAACGGUAUAUUAUGUGAUUCCAAUUAUUCGUAUCUCGGAUCACGGCGGAAAGUUCGAUUGGGUGGUUCUAUCCAUUCACACCUCAGAUCACUCGUGAGAUCAACCCUCUAAACUGAGAAUGAAAAUUUUUUUUUAUAAAUUUGUUAUUAAUACACAUUCAACUUCAGUAUCAGUAAGAAAAAUAUUAAGAAACUGAAAAAUAUUCGUUUUAUAAGCGAAAAACUGAGAAAUGAGAAAAUCGAAUUUGCCCCAAAGUCCAAGGCGACUUGACCGUUACUUUUCAAUUUUUUGCUUAUAAAAUGAAGAUUUUUAAGUUUUUAACAAAUUUUUUUACUGGUAAUGAAACUGAGUGUAUAUUAAUAAGAAAUCUAUGAAGAAAAAUGUUGAUUUUAAGUUUUAACUAUUGGUCUUUCGCUGUUAAGGCUGAACUAAUCCGAUUCGCCUCGGUCUACCCUAAUAUAUUUUAUCGCACUAAUGAAACUUACCUACUACAUAAGGUGUAUGAUAAAAUUAUUUUAACAUGUUGGACAUAUUCAGAACGUGCGCUAAACUUCAAACAUUCAUUAUUUGUUUUAUAACCGAUAACAUUUUUCGUUUAAUAUCGGUUCGUGCCUGACUCUCUGAACUAAUUAAAAUGAAAUUUAUUUAUUUAAAAAUAUUUACUUCUUUCGAUAUAAUUUCUUAAAUAAUCAUCCAGUUCGAACAAUGAAAUAAUUAAAUAGAAUUUAUUUACGAAAAUACUUCGGUUUAUCAUAACGAUUAUUUACGAAUUAUACGAAAACAAUAUUGUACGAAUAGCGGAAAAAUGUGAGAAAACACAUGAUUCAUGAAUGCCGAGAGAUGGUUUGUAUUGACAUAUGAGGAUUCUAAACGACACGCCCAAAACCUCGGUCGAUUUGUAGAUGGAACGAGAUAUAUUAUUUUAGUUUCAGGUUUACACAAAAAGGCCCUUCGCGUAGUUUAUUUAACUUGGCGUUCUUUAUCCGUCUUACUUUACCACGUACUUCCUUUGUUUUCCUUCCGGAAGCCGCACGAAUUUUUUCUAACAACACUCGAAUUCAUCUCGCAUUGUUUCCGCGAAAUUAAUAUUUUUGGAAUUGUAGGGACUUGGAAUAAUUUCCGAUCCCGUUUUCCUGGGUUUUUCAUGCUAUGUAUUGAUUUACAUUUUUUUCGAUGGUUGAAUCGUGUGAUAAAAGAUGAUGCGUUGUUUGAGAAACAUAGUACCGAGUGGACAAUUAACGUAGGUGUAUACUGGAAAUAGAAAUAAACUGAACACAGAAUUUAGGAAAGUUAUAAAGUAUAGCUUACAUUGAUAGCAAUUCGAGUAUAUAAAAUGAAGGGAAAUGAAAUCACUUAUUCCAAUAUAAAUUGGGAUUCAAAAUUAGAGUCCUCAAUAUUGGAAACUAACUAAGACAUAACUUCUGAAAGAAUCUAUUGAAAGUAAUUAUUCUUCGAGAAAAUUGUACUUAGCCUCUUUGAAAUUAAUUACAUGUUUUAUUUAAACUGAAUAAUAAAACACGAAAACAAUGUAAGCAUUAAUUACAAAAAAAAGUUUUACAUAAGCACGGCGAUAGGUAAUUAAAGUGGAUUAACAAUUAAAACGAUGAACAAUAGUGGUUAAAAAUAAAUUUUAAAAAGAAGGAAAAGAGAUUAACGAUUUACAAUUGUAAAAAUACUUUAUUGGACUAGUUCUUAUGCUUUGGUUACAAUAAUGAGUAAAAUAGAUUGCAUUGUCGCGAUAAUAAUGAUUGCUUAAAAAUAUUAAUUAGUAGAUCAAUAAAUAGUAGAAUAGUAAGGCACUCUGCAAUAAAUAUAGUAUCUAAUGCUUAUCUUAUUAUUUGGCAUCAUUCAAAGAGACAGUAGACCUCGUUUGUGAACAGAGCAUUCUUGUUUUGCUCGUUAAAAAGUAUUGAAUCCCUCGUUUCAGAGGGGGAUAUUAGAAAUAGGAGAGUUGCGGCUCGUGAUUGUGACGUGUCGACAUGUUCUGAUGUCCAGGAUGAUGGAAAUUCUGGAUCUCGUGUGUUCCCUGCUGACCACGGUACUGAUUAGAACUUGGUGUUGUCGAGGAUGACACGUUGCAACUGUUGUUCAUCAACAUCGAAGCGCUACUGCCUUGAAGAGCGAAUGGCCACGACUGUAACGAAAAUAGUGAAACACAAUUCGUUAACUGAUCUCGAUAUUCUGGUUAUUUCUAAUAUAGAUUUUGUAGUGUUAGAAAAUAGCGUGAACAUAUAUUCUGUAUUUUAUAUUGACAUAGGGUAGACCGAGGCGAAUGGGAUCAAUUCAGAUUCAACAGCGAAACACUAAUAGUUAAAACUUAGGAUCAACAUAUUUUUUCAUAAAUUUGUUAUUAAUAGACAUUCAAUUUCUAUACCAGUGAAAAGAAAAUUGUAUUUAUUUAAUAUAAGAAACGCAGUUUUAUAACACCUUUAUAUAACGACGGUUGAGCAACAAAUAAAUGUGAAUUUUGUGAACUGAAUGAAUAAAUAGUAUUGGUAUGCUAUUUAUAUGACACAUAUUGAGUGUGAUCUUUAAACAUAGCAAACACUAUUCUUAUGUGUAUUUAUAUUAACAGAUGUAGCAUAAAGAAUGGACAUAAUACAAAAUAAAAUUUGAUUCGAAUAAUUAUUUAAA